RNAcentral lists this transfer RNA (70 nucleotides) under Marmota monax (woodchuck). Its description in RNAcentral is "tRNA.Gly". The record is from RNAcentral. Lineage: Eukaryota; Metazoa; Chordata; Mammalia; Rodentia; Sciuridae.
GGGCUGGGGCUCAGCGGUAGAGUGUUCACCUCCCACAUGUGAGGCCCUGGGUUCGAUCCUCAGCACCACA